UCACAAUUCUUCACGGAGAAAUAAAAACGAUGCCUGGGUUACAAAAUACUGUGUAUCUAAGAAAAGACAAAUGAAACAGAAUGUGUGUGUGUGUAUGAGCAUGCGUGCAUGGUGUGUGUGUGUGCGCGCAUAUGAGCAUGUGUGCAUGGUGUGAGUAUGUGUUAUGUGUGUGUGUGUGUGUGGUGUGUGCAUGUGUGAGUAUGUGUGUGUGUGUGUGUGUGUGUGUUGUGUGCGUGUGUGUGUGUGUAAAAGACCAGGGAACAUACAUACGGCUGAACCAGGCGAGGGCCUCAUUCUACACUGUAAUUCCAUACAGAAGGCGCUACGCCUUUAAUCAC
This is a long non-coding RNA of Anguilla rostrata (American eel), 338 nucleotides long. RefSeq lists it as uncharacterized. The transcript has 3 exons. NCBI's taxonomy places the organism in Eukaryota, Metazoa, Chordata, Actinopteri, Anguilliformes, Anguillidae. The record is from RefSeq and is a predicted model, not a curated record.